CCCUUAGAUGUUCUGGGCCGCACGCGCGCUACACUGAUGCAUUCAACGAGUUUCUUCCUGGUCCGAGAGGAAUGGGUAACCUUUUGAAAGUGCAUCGUGAUAGGGAUAGACUAUUGCAAUUAUUGGUCUUCAACGAGGAAUUCCUAGUAGACGUAGUUCAUCAGACUGCAUCGAUUACGUCCCUGCCCUUUGUACACACCGCCCGUCACUCCUACCGAUUGAAUGCUCAGGUGAGCCAUUCGGACUUUCAUCAUGCUGGUUUCCAGUUUCGAUGAAGGAAAGUCUUGCGAACCUUAUCAUUUAGAGGAAGGAGAAGUCGUAACA
This 324-nucleotide ribosomal RNA is filed under the name uncultured eukaryote. RNAcentral describes it as "partial 18S ribosomal RNA". It matches the Rfam family "Eukaryotic small subunit ribosomal RNA", at positions 1470 to 1796 of the family's 1831-position model. The record is from RNAcentral.